UUGAAUUCUGCAGAGACUGCCAGACUAGGGACCGGGAGAGGUGUGGGGUACUCUAGGGGUAGGGGUAAAAUCCUGUCAUCCUUAGAGGACCACCAGUUGCGAAGGCGUCACACUGGAACGGAUCCGACGGUCAGGGACGAAGCCUAGGGGCACGAACCGGAUUAGAUACCCGGGUAGUCCUAGGUGUAAACGCUGUGAACUUGGUGUCGGGAGUCCGCAAUGGGCCCCCGGUGCCGGAGUGAAGAUGUUAAGUUCACUGCCUGGGGAGUACGGUCGCAAGGCUGAAACUUAAAGGAAUUGGCGGGGGAGCACCGCAACCUGAGGAUUGUGCGGUUUAAUUGGAUUCAACGCCGGAAAACUCACCAUGGCCGACGGACAAAUGAAAGCCAGUGUAACGAGCUUGCUGGAUUGUUCGAGAGGUAUUGCAUGGCCGUCGUCAGUUCGUACCGCAAGGCGUUCUGUUAAGUCAGAUAACGAACGAGACCCUCAUCCCUAUUUGCCAGCUGCGUCCCCGGACGCAACGCACUAUAGGGAGACCGCUGUCGAUAAGGCAGAUGAAGGCGAGGGCAACGGUAGGUCAGUAUGAUCCGAAUGCCAUGGGCUACACGCGCAAUACAAAGGACGGGACAACGGGCUGCAACUCCGAGAGGAAAGACGCUAUCCUGAAACCCGUUCGUAGUUCGGAUUGAAGGCUGUAACUCGCUCUCAUGAAGCUGGAUUAGGUAGUAAUCGCGUCUCAAUAGGGCGCGGUGAAUAUGUCCCUGCUCCUUGCAC
RNAcentral lists this ribosomal RNA (774 nucleotides) under uncultured archaeon. RNAcentral describes it as "bacterial SSU rRNA". It matches the Rfam family "Archaeal small subunit ribosomal RNA", at positions 568 to 1342 of the family's 1478-position model. The record is from RNAcentral.